RNAcentral lists this ribosomal RNA (501 nucleotides) under uncultured bacterium. RNAcentral's name for it is "partial 16S ribosomal RNA". It matches the Rfam family "Bacterial small subunit ribosomal RNA", at positions 30 to 523 of the family's 1533-position model. The record is from RNAcentral.
AUUGAACGCUGGCGGCAGGCUUAACACAUGCAAGUCGAGCGGAGAGAGGUAGCUUGCUACUGAUCUUAGCGGCGGACGGGUGAGUAAUGCUUAGGAAUCUGCCUAUUAGUGGGGGACAACAUUUCGAAAGGAAUGCUAAUACCGCAUACGUCCUACGGGAGAAAGCAGGGGAUCUUCGGGCCUUGCGCUAAUAGAUGAGCCUAAGUCGGAUUAGCUAGUUGGUGGGGUAAAGGCCUACCAAGGCGACGAUCUGUAGCGGGUCUGAGAGGAUGAUCCGCCACACUGGGACUGAGACACGGCCCAGACUCCUACGGGAGGCAGCAGUGGGGAAUAUUGGACAAUGGGCGCAAGCCUGAUCCAGCCAUGCCGCGUGUGUGAAGAAGGCCUUAUGGUUGUAAAGCACUUUAAGCGAGGAGGAGGCUACUUUAGUUAAUACCUAGAGAUAGUGGACGUUACUCGCAGAAUAAGCACCGGCUAACCCUGUGCCAGCCGCCGCCGUAA